GUGGGGAAUCUUCCGCAAUGGACGAAAGUCUGACGGAGCAACGCCGCGUGAGUGAUGAAGGUCUUCGGAUUGUAAAGCUCUGUUAAUCGGGACGAAAGAGCCUAGUGUGAAUAAUGCUAGGAAGUGACGGUACCGGAAUAGAAAGCCACGGCUAACUACGUGCCAGCAGCCGCGGUAAUACGGAGGUGGCAAGCGUUGUCCGGAAUUAUUGGGCGUAAAGCGCGCGCAGGCGGAUCUGCCAGUCUGUCUUAAAAGUUCGGGGCUUAACCCCGUGAGGGAAUGGAAACUAGAGAGCUAGAGUAUCGGAGAGGAAAGUGGAAUUCCUAGUGUAGCGGGGAAAUGCGUAGAUAUUAGGAAGAACACCAGUGGCGAAGGCGACUGUCUGGACGAAAACUGGCGCUGAGGCGCGAAAGCCAGGGGAGCGAACGGGAUUAGAAACCCUGUAGUCC
Molecule: ribosomal RNA, 449 nt
Filed under: uncultured bacterium
Lineage: Bacteria
Description: partial 16S ribosomal RNA
Rfam family: Bacterial small subunit ribosomal RNA
Source: RNAcentral